AGUGAACGCUGGCGGUAGGCCUAACACAUGCAAGUCGAACGGCAGCACAGUAAGAGCUUGCUCUUACGGGUGGCGAGUGGCGGACGGGUGAGGAAUACAUCGGAAUCUACUUUUUCGUGGGGGAUCACGUAGGGAAACUUACGCUAAUACCGCAUACGACCUACGGGUGAAAGCAGGGGAUCUUCGGACCUUGCGCGAUUGAAUGCGCCGAUGUCGGAUUAGCUAGUUGGCGGGGUAAAGGCCCACCAAGGCGACGAUCCGUAGCUGGUCUGAGAGGAUGGUCAGCCACACUGGAACGUAGACACGGUCCAGACUCCUACGGGAGGCAGCAGUGGGGAAUAUGGGACAAUGGGCGCAAGCCUGAUCCAGCCAUACCGCGUGUGUGAAGAAGGCCUUCGGGUUGUAAAGCCCUUUUGUUGGGAAAGAAAAGCAGCAGGUUAAUACCCCGCUGUUCUGACGGUACCCAAAGAAUAAGCACCGGCUAACUUCGUG
RNAcentral lists this ribosomal RNA (492 nucleotides) under uncultured bacterium. Its description in RNAcentral is "partial 16S ribosomal RNA". It matches the Rfam family "Bacterial small subunit ribosomal RNA", at positions 29 to 507 of the family's 1533-position model. The record is from RNAcentral.